CAGUUUGUCUUUUUUUUUUUUUUUUUUUUGACUACAGGUGCUCAGCUGCUGAGAUAAGACAUUCAGAAGCUGUGCUGGCUUUACGGACCAUCCAACCGCCUCCUGAACAAGGUUGUCAGACUCUGCACUGCCAGGCUUUUCCUCCUCCUUUUGUCUACUCCACCGCAGUUUGAAGUGGGUGUUGAGCCGCUCCAGG
Thunnus maccoyii (southern bluefin tuna) is the source of this 196-nucleotide long non-coding RNA. RefSeq lists it as uncharacterized. Lineage: Eukaryota; Metazoa; Chordata; Actinopteri; Scombriformes; Scombridae. The transcript is spliced from 3 exons. The record is from RefSeq and is a predicted model, not a curated record.